This 496-nucleotide ribosomal RNA is filed under the name uncultured bacterium. RNAcentral's name for it is "partial 16S ribosomal RNA". It matches the Rfam family "Bacterial small subunit ribosomal RNA", at positions 28 to 506 of the family's 1533-position model. The record is from RNAcentral.
GAUGAACGCUGGCGGCGUGCCUAAUACAUGCAAGUCGAGCGAACAGACGAGGAGCUUGCUCCUCUGACGUUAGCGGCGGACGGGUGAGUAACACGUGGAUAACCUACCUAUAAGACUGGGAUAACUUCGGGAAACCGGAGCUAAUACCGGAUAACAUGUUGAACCGCAUGGUUCAACAGUGAAAGACGGUCUUGCUGUCACUUAUAGAUGGAUCCGCGCCGCAUUAGCUAGUUGGUAAGGUAACGGCUUACCAAGGCAACGAUGCGUAGCCGACCUGAGAGGGGGAUGGGCCACACUGGAACUGAGAAACGGUCCAGACUCCUACGGGAGGCAGAAGUAGGGAAUCUUCCGCAAUGGGCGAAAGCCUGACGGAGCAACGCCGCGUGAGUGAAGAAGGUCUUCGGAUCGUAAAACUCUGUUAUUAGGGAAGAACAAAUGUGUAAGUAACUAUGCACGUCUUGACGGUACCUAAUCAGAAAGCAACGGCUAACUACGU